GAUGAACGCUGGCGGCGUGCCUAAUACAUGCAAGUCGAACGCAUAGCGAAAGGUGCUUGCACCUUUCAAGUGAGUGGCGAACGGGUGAGUAACACGUGGACAACCUGCCUCAAGGCUGGGGAUAACAUUUGGAAACAGAUGCUAAUACCGAAUAAAACUUAGUGUCGCAUGACACAAAGUUAAAAGGCGCUUCGGCGUCACCUAGAGAUGGAUCCGCGGUGCAUUAGUUAGUUGGUGGGGUAAAGGCCUACCAAGACAAUGAUGCAUAGCCGAGUUGAGAGGCUGAUCGGCCACAUUGGAACUGAGACACGGCCCAGACUCCUACGGGAGGCAGCAGUAGGGAAUCUUCCACAAUGGGCGAAAGCCUGAUGGAGCAACGCCGCGUGUGUGAUGAAGGCUUUCGGGUCGUAAAGCACUGUUGUAUGGGAAGAACAGCUAGAAGAGGAAAUGAUGUUAGUUUGACGGUACCAUACCAGAAAGGGACGGCUAAAUACGUG
RNAcentral lists this ribosomal RNA (497 nucleotides) under uncultured bacterium. RNAcentral's name for it is "partial 16S ribosomal RNA". It matches the Rfam family "Bacterial small subunit ribosomal RNA", at positions 28 to 507 of the family's 1533-position model. The record is from RNAcentral.